UGGAAUUGAAUGUUAGUUUGCAGCGUGCUCGUUGUCAACAUGAUAACAUUGUCGCCAAAGGUACUCCACUGACCAAAGCAGAAGUGAUAGAAACCCCCCGGCUUUGGCACCAGCGAGUGUGAAUCAUGAGGAUGGUGAAUCUGAAGAUGAUUUUGCCCAGCUAGCUCACAGGUGAAUGUUCUGCAUUCUUUUUUGGAUAUGGUGUUCAGGUGGUCAACAGAUAAUGGAGACAAUGGGUAAGCAGCGAAUGCUCAGACUGAACUAUCGCGAAUCAGCCCACUUCUCCCAUCUCCACCCUCAUCAAAGAGACCGGUUGCUGGAGAUUCAAGCUCGAUUGAUUAUCUCAGUGGCGAUGUAUAAAAAUACAAAGAAUUUCCCGCGACAAUGGGAUCGACACUGUCCUCAGUUCCUGAUUCUAACAGGACCUGUUCCAUGCCAUCUACUCCAUCUUUAUCCCCAUUUUUUUCUUCUAUUUUGGGCUUAGCCUACAAAAUAUCUGCUUGCUUUCUCUAGGAGAAAGGCCGUUGUCCUUUCACUGUCUAUACGACUCCAGUGAAGGUUCUCAGCUGACAAAUACUAUCCAGCUGAUAAUAUAUUUCAUACCUAGCUGUUUUUUGCUCCCUAAACAGGUGAAGAGAUUAUUCUGUUUAGCAUGCUUAGCGUUCAGUCUGAGAAGAAGUUUAAUUAAGUGCUGGAUUGCUUCCA
This is a long non-coding RNA of Syzygium oleosum, 705 nucleotides long. RefSeq lists it as uncharacterized. The record is from RefSeq and is a predicted model, not a curated record. The transcript is spliced from 2 exons. NCBI's taxonomy places the organism in Eukaryota, Viridiplantae, Streptophyta, Magnoliopsida, Myrtales, Myrtaceae.